RNAcentral lists this ribosomal RNA (239 nucleotides) under uncultured bacterium. Its description in RNAcentral is "partial 16S ribosomal RNA". It matches the Rfam family "Bacterial small subunit ribosomal RNA", at positions 531 to 769 of the family's 1533-position model. The record is from RNAcentral.
GAUGCGAGCGUUAUCCGGAUUUAUUGGGUUUAAAGGGAGCGCAGACGGGAGAUUAAGUCAGCUGUGAAAGUUUGCGGCUCAACCGUAAAAUUGCAGUUGAUACUGGCGUCCUUGAGUGCGGCAGAGGCAGGCGGAAUUCGUGGUGUAGCGGUGAAAUGCUUAGAUAUCACGAAGAACUCCGAUUGCGAAGGCAGCUUGCUGGACCGUAACUGACGCUGAUGCUCGAAAGUGCGGGUAUC